Non-coding RNA from Misgurnus anguillicaudatus (oriental weatherfish), 602 nucleotides. The record is from RefSeq and is a predicted model, not a curated record. NCBI's taxonomy places the organism in Eukaryota, Metazoa, Chordata, Actinopteri, Cypriniformes, Cobitidae.
CUUCCGGUCUUUCUCAUAAUCGCUUGGUUUGAAGGAGAGCUAGCCUGUUCUUGUGCUGGUUGAGGGUAAUCUGAAAUUUCACCAUGGUAUUAGAAGCCUUAUGCAGUCAUCGCAUACAGCAUGGAUUUGGAUAAAGUUUGGUCACGUGGACCGAUAGGUCUGAGAACACAUCCCUUCAUUUCUGGAGUUGUAUAUUCUGGAAGUUUGCAUUUGCGUGGUGUGACCACCAUGAGGUGCGACCACUAGGAGGUGCACUUGCUUUUUGAUCUCAUGGUUAUAACUUUUUUGGCAUGCCAGCAUUCUUUCAAUCGGGCUGAAAGACAAAAGGCGUCGAAUUGGAGUGUUGGAUUUGGCAUCCGGUGGUUGUAUGGAAGGUGAGGGUACUUCCGCUGCUUUGGAUCACUUUCAAAGGGGGUCAGCCACUUUCCUCCACUGGCGAUCCUUAACGCCGUGGUCCUACAUAAGUGCCCAGCAAGAUUUUUUGCAGAUGUGGGUUUGUGAACGGUCUUCUGUGCAAGAAUUGUAAAGUUUCCCUGAGCUUAAUAAUUUGUUAUGCAUGUUAUUUCUUUCCUAACUUUCAAUAAAAACUUUACACUAUAUAA